GUGCCAGCCGCCGCGGUAAUACGGAGGAUGCGAGCGUUAUCCGGAUUUAUUGGGUUUAAAGGGUGCGUAGGCGGGUUGCCAAGUCAGGGGUGAAAUCCCGGAGCCUAACUCCGGAACUGCCUUUGAUACUGGCAGUCUUGAAUUCGGAUGCCGUGGGAGGAAUGAGUAGUGUAGCGGUGAAAUGCAUAGAUAUUACUCAGAACACCGAUUGCGAAGGCAUCUCACGAAUCCGACAUUGACGCUGAGGCACGAAAGCGUGGGGAUCAAACAGGAUUAGAUACCCUGGUAGUCCACGCAGUAAACGAUGAUGACUAACCGUCGGCGAUAGACAGUCGGUGGCCAAGCGAAAGCGAUAAGUCAUCCACCUGGGGAGUACGACCGCAAGGUUGAAACUCAAAGGAAUUGACGGGGGCCCGCACAAGCGGAGGAACAUGUGGUUUAAUUCGAUGAUACGCGAGGAACCUUACCCGGGCUCGAACGGUGCAGGAAGGAUCAAGAGAUUGUGACGCCCUUCGGGGCCUGCAUCGAGGUGCUGCAUGGUUGUCGUCAGCUCGUGUCGUGAGAUGUUGGCUCAAGUGCCAUAACGAGCGCAACCCUUGCCGCCAGUUACCAUCAAGUAAUGUUGGGGACUCUGGCGGGACUGCCACCGCAAGGUGUGAGGAAGGCGGGGAUGACGUCAAAUCAGCACGGCCCUUACGUCCGGGGCGACACACGUGUUACAAUGGGGGUUACAGAAGGAAGCUACCUGGCGACAGGGCGCGGAUCCCGAAAAGCCCCCUCAGUUCGGAUCGGAGUCUGCAACCCGACUCCGUGAAGCUGGAUUCGCUAGUAAUCGCGCAUCAGCCAUGGCGCGGUGAAUACGUUCCCGGGCCUUGUACACACCGCCCGU
This 889-nucleotide ribosomal RNA is filed under the name uncultured bacterium. RNAcentral describes it as "bacterial SSU rRNA". It matches the Rfam family "Bacterial small subunit ribosomal RNA", at positions 505 to 1397 of the family's 1533-position model. The record is from RNAcentral.